AUACAAGAAACCAGGAGACACAUGAGAACCAGACAGCUCAGGGUUCACCUGAUGGGUUUCAUUCAAACCCUGUCCAAAUGACUGGACGGAUGGACGGACGGACAGAUGGGUGGUCACAGCUCCCCCUUCAACUGUUACCCUCCGCCUUUUCCCCGAUACAGCGACCUGGUUGAUGCGACUGGCCAUGCGGCCACGUCGCUCACCUGGGCGGUCUGUGCUGGGACCCCCACCUGCCAUUACCCCCUGUGGCUGCAGGCUCAGGCACCCAUGUAUCAUGUUAUUUAUUUGUUUGUUCUUGUGAUGGGCUGUACUUAAGCAAAUUUCAUUGUCCUUCUGUACGAUGACAGUAAAGACUGAUUGAUUGAUUGAUUGAUUGAUUGAUUGAUUGAUUGAUUGAUUGAUUGAUUGAUUGAUUGAUUGAUUGAUUGAUUGUAGUAGGGCUAAAAUGAUUCCUCGAAUGAUUCGAGUAAAUUCCUCUAGGAAAAUUUACUCGAGCUUCGUUAAAUUAUGUUUUAUUAUUUAGCGCACCGUGUUCUGGCCGGAACAUUAUUUGCGUUGUGCAGAGCUCUGACUUAAGUGUUAGCGGCAUAACGUCCAAUCUUCAAGUUCGGCCCGUGGGGAUUUUAUUGAUUAAUGAUAAUUCCGGGUUUUCAUCGUUUUCGGGAACCAAUAAACAUCCUUAAAUAACCGGAGCGAUCCGGGAGUCCGGCAGCCUUUCUGCUCCGGAGCUGCUGGUUCAGAGCUGAGGAGGAUUUCUACAGGCAGAGACUGAACACGGCGGGCGGCUGAUGCUGACGAACCGGAAAAUGAAUGUCACGUCAUCCCGGUCUGAACCAACGGGAGGCGGAACAUGGCUGGUAGAGGAGCUUCUGAGAGGGAUGAACGGAGGAGCCGAAUCCCGGAACAUGAACAGAAAAGCUAUAAAUGUUUGGUCAAGUUGAGAGUUCAUCUGUUAAACUGACUGGAAAUGAACACAUGAACUAAAAGCUGGAUUAUAGACAUUUUAAAAUAUAUAUAUAAGCGUAUUUGUGAGCCUGCGUCUUUAUUAUUAAAUUGAUUAUAAUUUCAGAUAAAUUCUUCAGGUUAACCUAGAAAGUGAGCUGUUGUUGUUACAGGUUGAUUUUCUAAACUACAGUAACAUAACUUAGGGAAGCUCAAAUAUGAAAAAAUUGACUGAUAUGCAACAGUAAUACUGCUGUUACACUAGAUUUACCAAUAUUUUAUUUUAUAGGUUUUUAUCCGAUUGUCGAUUAAUUGUAAGAAUAAUCAAUAGAUUACUCGAUUACUAAAAUAUUUGUUUACAACAACCCUAGAUUGUAGCUUGGCCUGCCAGCAAGCAACCGAUCGGCAGAUAGGUUCCGGUUCUGCCAGAGAACAGCAGCAUAACAUUGUUCUCUGCUUUACAGAAUAAACUUUGAGAAACCUGAGGCUAUCCGUGUAGUGAUGACACAUCCUAGCAAACUGGCAGGAAAACCGAUGUCAUUGUUGCUAUGGCAACGUGAUGUUGAUCCAAAAAGUCACCAUGGUUAAUUAUGCAUCAUUCGGAUUGGGGAUGGUGGGUUAGGGUUGGUUGCUGUUUUCUCCCUUUCUCCACCAGAGGGCGCCAAGAGGUUGAUUUCUGGAGAGCAUGACAGGCGGCUGCCGGUUUACCUGCACACCUGCAAGUCAUCUGAUCAUCUGGAGGAGUGUAAGAGGAAGGAGCAGCCAACACUUCUUUGCCAGAGUGUCAGCCAGUAAUGGUGAACCCUCGUGACGUCGUGGAUGUUACCCACAGAUGCCUGAGUUCCAUUGACGCCCUCGCUAGUGAUGGGCAAAUGAAGCCUCAUGAAGCAAUGAACCUUCCCAGCCCUUUGGUUUGCAAAAAGGUUCAUAACUCGAUGCUUCAUUCAUCACUCACUAGUGACAUCUGCUGGUGAAACUGUAACAGCCUUGUCACUCAGUUGGAUCAUACUUCCAAAAACUACUA
Molecule: long non-coding RNA, 1966 nt
Organism: Poecilia latipinna (sailfin molly)
Lineage: Eukaryota; Metazoa; Chordata; Actinopteri; Cyprinodontiformes; Poeciliidae
Exons: 3
Source: RefSeq, a predicted model, not a curated record